UUAAGCGACUAAGCGUACACGGUGGAUGCCCUGGCAGUCAGAGGCGAUGAAGGACGUGCUAAUCUGCGAAAAGCGUCGGUAAGGUGAUAUGAACCGUUAUAACCGGCGAUGUCCGAAUGGGGAAACCCAGUGCAAUUCGUUGCACUAUCGUUAACUGAAUACAUAGGUUAACGAGGCGAACCGGGGGAACUGAAACAUCUAAGUACCCCGAGGAAAAGAAAUCAACCGAGAUUCCCCCAGUAGCGGCGAGCGAACGGGGAGCAGCCCGGAGUCUGAAUCAGCUUGUGUGUUAGUGGAAGCGUCUGGAAAGUCGCAGGGUACAGGGUGAUACUCCCGUACACUAAAACACACAGGCUGUGAACUCGAAGAGUAGGGCGGGACACGUGGUAUCCUGUCUGAAUAUGGGGGGACCAUCCUCCAAGGCUAAAUACUCCUGACUGACCGAUAGUGAACCAGUACCGUGAGGGAAAGGCGAAAAGAACCCCGGCGAGGGGAGUGAAAAAGAACCUGAAACCGUGUACGUACAAGCAGUAGGAGCCCACUUGUUGGGUGACUGCGUACCUUUUGUAUAAUGGGUCAGCGACUUAUAUUCUGUAGCAAGGUUAACCGUAUAGGGGAGCCGCAGGGAAACCGAGUCUUAACUGGGCGUUAAGUUGCAGGGUAUAGACCCGAAACCCGGUGAUCUAGCCAUGGGCAGGUUGAAGGUUGGGUAACACUAACUGGAGGACCGAACCGACUAAUGUUGAAAAAUUAGCGGAUGACUUGUGGCUGGGGGUGAAAGGCCAAUCAAACCGGGAGAUAGCUGGUUCUCCCCGAAAGCUAUUUAGGUAGCGCCUCGUGAAUUCAUCUUCGGGGGUAGAGCACUGUUUCGGCUAGGGGGUCAUCCCGACUUACCAACCCGAUGCAAACUACGAAUACCGAAGAAUGUUAUCACGGGAGACACACGGCGGGUGCUAACGUCCGUCGUGAAGAGGGAAACAACCCAGACCGCCAGCUAAGGUCCCAAAGUCAUGGUUAAGUGGGAAACGAUGUGGGAAGGCCCAGACAGCCAGGAUGUUGGCUUAGAAGCAGCCAUCAUUUAAAGAAAGCGUAAUAGCUCACUGGUCGAGUCGGCCUGCGCGGAAGAUGUAACGGGGCUAAACCAUGCACCGAAGCUGCGGCAGCGACGCUUAUGCGUUGUUGGGUAGGGGAGCGUUCUGUAAGCCGUUGAAGGUGGCCUGUGAGGGUUGCUGGAGGUAUCAGAAGUGCGAAUGCUGACAUAAGUAACGAUAAUGCGGGUGAAAAACCCGCACGCCGGAAGACCAAGGGUUCCUGUCCAACGUUAAUCGGGGCAGGGUGAGUCGACCCCUAAGGCGAGGCCGAAAGGCGUAGUCGAUGGGAAACAGGUUAAUAUUCCUGUACUUGGUGUUACUGCGAAGGGGGGACGGAGAAGGCUAUGUUGGCCGGGCGACGGUUGUCCCGGUUUAAGCAUGUAGGCGGAUGUUCCAGGUAAAUCCGGAACGUCACUAACGCUGAGGUGUGAUGACGAGGCACUACGGUGCUGAAGUGACAAAUGCCCUGCUUCCAGGAAAAGCCUCUAAGCAUCAGGUAACAUCAAAUCGUACCCCAAACCGACACAGGUGGUCAGGUAGAGAAUACCAAGGCGCUUGAGAGAACUCGGGUGAAGGAACUAGGCAAAAUGGUGCCGUAACUUCGGGAGAAGGCACGCUGAUGGUAGGUGAAGUGACUUGCUCAUGGAGCUGAAAUCAGUCGAAGAUACCAGCUGGCUGCAACUGUUUAUUAAAAACACAGCACUGUGCAAACACGAAAGUGGACGUAUACGGUGUGACGCCUGCCCGGUGCCGGAAGGUUAAUUGAUGGGGUUAUCCUCACGGAGAAGCUCUUGAUCGAAGCCCCGGUAAACGGCGGCCGUAACUAUAACGGUCCUAAGGUAGCGAAAUUCCUUGUCGGGUAAGUUCCGACCUGCACGAAUGGCGUAAUGAUGGCCAGGCUGUCUCCACCCGAGACUCAGUGAAAUUGAACUCGCUGUGAAGAUGCAGUGUACCCGCGGCAAGACGGAAAGACCCCGUGAACCUUUACUAUAGCUUGACACUGAACACUGGUCCUUGAUGUGUAGGAUAGGUGGGAGGCUUUGAAGUGUGGACGCCAGUCUGCAUGGAGCCGUCCUUGAAAUACCACCCUUUAAUGGCUGGUGUUCUAACGUGGGCCCGUGAUCCGGGUUGCGGACAGUGUCUGGUGGGUAGUUUGACUGGGGCGGUCUCCUCCUAAAGAGUAACGGAGGAGCACGAAGGUCAGCUAAUCCUGGUCGGACAUCAGGAGGUUAGUGCAAUGGCAUAAGCUGGCUUGACUGCGAGCGUGACGGCGCGAGCAGGUGCGAAAGCAGGUCAUAGUGAUCCGGUGGUUCUGAAUGGAAGGGCCAUCGCUCAACGGAUAAAAGGUACUCCGGGGAUAACAGGCUGAUACCGCCCAAGAGUUCAUAUCGACGGCGGUGUUUGGCACCUCGAUGUCGGCUCAUCACAUCCUGGGGCUGAAGUAGGUCCCAAGGGUAUGGCUGUUCGCCAUUUAAAGUGGUACGCGAGCUGGGUUUAGAACGUCGUGAGACAGUUCGGUCCCUAUCUGCCGUGGGCGCUGGAGAAUUGAGGGGGGCUGCUCCUAGUACGAGAGGACCGGAGUGGACGCAUCACUGGUGUUCGGGUUGUCAUGCCAAUGGCAUUGCCCGGUAGCUAAAUGCGGAAGAGAUAAGUGCUGAAAGCAUCUAAGCACGAAACUUGCCCCGAGAUGAGUUCUCCCUGACUCCUUGAGAGUCCUGAAGGAACGUUGAAGACGACGACGUUGAUAGGCCGGGUGUGUAAGCGCAGCGAUGCGUUGAGCUAACCGGUACUAAUGAACCGUGAGGCUUAACCUU
This 2905-nucleotide ribosomal RNA is filed under the name human gut metagenome. Its description in RNAcentral is "bacterial LSU rRNA". It matches the Rfam family "Bacterial large subunit ribosomal RNA". The record is from RNAcentral.